RNA transcript from Musa acuminata AAA Group (dessert banana), 2153 nucleotides. RefSeq lists it as uncharacterized. The transcript has 4 exons. The record is from RefSeq and is a predicted model, not a curated record. NCBI's taxonomy places the organism in Eukaryota, Viridiplantae, Streptophyta, Magnoliopsida, Zingiberales, Musaceae.
UGAGUGUGAUCGGAGGGUUGUGAUCUAUGUGAAGCCACAGGGGCUGCCCUCAGGGGCCCUCCGCCCUAACGCCCCUCCCCUUCUCCGACCGCCGCUCUAGCUGCCUCUCCAGAAGGUUUCAAUCACAUAGAAAUCCCAUCGCUUCUCUUUCUCUUUACCGUUUCCUCGCCGUUUACCCUACGGAUAGAAAAGCUAUUCCAAGGGUUCAAGAACGGGAUCAUCGAAGGAGACAGGAGAUGCAAGGGGGGAAGGAUGAUGAGGAAAAGGUUCUGCGGUGCCAAAUCAACGAAUGGUACCCCAUGUUCAAGCCUCAUACUAUUCGCACCCUCUUCCACCCCCUCCCCGAUCCGUUCCUCCGCUACCUCCUCGGUCUCAACCCCGUCUCCCCACCUCCCCACGCCGACUCCCACAGCGACGACGACGAUGACGCGCCGCCGCCGUUCCUCCUUCCCCGUCCCGCGUCCGGCCGCGACCCCCUUCCUCGCCCCGCCGCCGGCAUUGACCCCACCUCCCUCCUCGACUGCUCGUCCCAGCUUUCCGUAUCCGACGAAGACGAAGCGGAAGCUGACUCCGCCCCGUCGUUUCCCGAGCUAGAGGCGGCGGUCGAGCGGUCCAUUACCGCCCUAGGCGGCGCCGCCUUCCCCAAGUUGAACUGGAGCGCACCCAAGGACGCCGCCUGGAUCUCCGCCGACGGCACCCUCCGCUGCUCCUCCUUUGCCGACGUUGCUCUCCUCCUUCACUCCUCCGACUCCAUCGCCCACGACCUCUCUUCCCACCCACUCCCCUCCUCCUCCUCCUUCCCACUCUUCACCUUUUACCUUGCCCUCCGCAAGUGGUACCCUUCUCUCCGCCCCGAGAUGGAGUUCCGCUGCUUCGCCCGCUGCCGCCGCCUCAUAGCCAUAUCCCAGCGCGAAGUCACCAACUUCUACCCCGCCCUUCUCGACCACCGCCACCACAUCCUGCCGCUCAUCCAGACCUUCUUCUCCGAGGUCGUGGGUCCCACGUUCGAGUCUCAGAACUACACCUUCGACGUUUAUGUCACCAGUGACGGGCGGGUGAAGCUUAUCGACUUCAACCCAUGGCGCGCCUUCACAUUACCCCUUCUCUUUACCUGGGAGGAGUUGGAGGAAGAAGCAUUUAAUUCCAAGGAGGAAGAAGUAGACAAAGAGCAGGGAGAAGAAGAAGCAAGAUUGGUGGAGUUUCGGAUUGUCGAAAGCCAAUGUGGGGUGAGGCCAGGGUUGAAGACGGCUGUGCCUUACGACUACUUGGACACAGGGGAAGGAAGUGGGUGGGAUCAGUUCUUGAGGAGAGCCGACGAAGAGCUGAGGAAGCAGGCCAAGACAACUUUGCACCCCAGUGAUGAUGCUUAAAGAAGAACAAAAGAUCUUUCAGCUUGAUUUCUUAUGGAUUUCUAUCCAGGUUGUAGGUUUUAUUGCUACUGGAUGUUUGGCCUCAUUUCUAUCUUCCAGGUUUGAAAUUAUGGGGGCUGGCUCUACUGAACAUUAUACCGGGCAAAGUCUGAGGACAGAUGUCAUGAGGAAUCAGUUGCCAACAAGCCAUUAACUGCAUGUACAGGUCCAACUUGCUUCAGAAGUCUAUCAAUCAACUGAGGGCUUUGUUCGAGUACAACACUAGUCAGGAUUUGUGGUUUUAAAAUGACAGGAAGAAAGAAUUCGUCAUCGACAGGAAGAAAGAAUUCGUCAUUGACAGGAAGGUAAUGCAUCAUCUUCAUCGGACUCGUUAUGACACAUAGAGGCCUUUCGAACCAGAAUUUACAGAAGAGCAGCAAUCACGCUUUGGCUCACUGGAGAUGUCUCCGGACAGACUAAUGCCUCCUGUUUGCAGUCUGCUGGACAAGAUAGCAAUUCAAACAAGUAAACUUCCCUGUAGACUCAAACCCUGAAAGCCGUGGUAGAAGGAAGUGCCAAAACAUUUUAAUUUCUCUGAUACACUGCAUCCUAUAGCGAGGAAAUGAAGCUUCGUCUAUUUGUACAGGCCAAAAGACACAGAGGAGCGAACAUGGUGAGGAUUCGGAAGGCGGUGCCAAGGAAGGCAAGGGGCUCCUUAGCGGCGUGGGCACCGCCGAGACUCGUCGCCCAGUUCUUUUCUGAGCCUACAUAAAUGUAAUCCUCAAUCUGACUUUAGUUGAAGAC